UUGGAUUGUUGUCUUAUUUGCUGUUGAGUGGUAUCAGCUGUUGAGCAGGUAAUUUGAACCCCCCGCCUGACUGGGGUUUGGGACCUGGUGAAUGGAAGGUGGUGAAAUGGUGAUCUUCUGGGGAGAAGCUGUGCUCCUCCCUGGGCUUUUUCUCUCCAGAGGUCUCCUGAAUAAACCUGGUAUGUGUGAGGGGCUACACGGGGUCAUUGUUACAAUGGCUCUUUCUGCCGACCCGCGGGACCGAGCACCUCUCUGCCUGUUUUCACCACGGGUGCAGCCUUUGCCAAGACUGCGAGACCCCCCUCCCAUGGGACACCACACACCUCUGGCUUUCCCAAGACGACGAGACCACCCCUCCCGUGGGACACCACACACCUCCAGCUUUCUCAAGAUUACGAGACCACCAGAGUCCAGCUGCAGUAUGAAGACCUGAUGAAAAGCCAGAUCUGGUGAAUCAAGUCUGAUAGAUUGAUAUAAAGAAAACUCUUCCAGAGAUCCCUCCUGGGCCCCUGGGUAAAGGAUCUGUCUUUGUCCCUGCGGUAUGUUUAGAAUCUUCUGAGGCUUGAAAUCCGUCGAUGGGCUGACAAGUCACAUAUGUUUCAGGGUCGCAUAGAACCCCAACUGCUAUAAAGGUUACAGUUAUUACCCUGUGGAACCACCCUCCGCUGCCACACCACAGUCAUGAAGUCUGCAUCCGCGGCUGACAUGGACACCUGGGAGGCUGUGCAGCAUCUCGAGAAUCCCCUCAGGGUCAAGUUCCAGGGACUCCCGUCGUCAUCGCCAGAGAACGCUAAGCCCUGCUCUGGCCACCCCUGGAAGCUGGUCAGUCUACACACGGCAGAAGCCCGAGGAGUUCUACGUGAGACUUAACUUGGACUUGCGUUCUGUCUACAGAUGUGGGAAGCAAGCGAUUCGGGAAGUAGUGAAGAAAGGAAGUUGCGGGAUCUGUUUUUGUCCUCCUGUAAAAACAAAAAGGGGGAGAUGUCGUGAGACAUGUUUUUCCAAUCUUCUUGAUCAGCCACUGUCUCGAGACAUGUUUUUCCAAUCUUCUUGUUUGACUACCCACCCAUAGCCCCUCCUCAUGUGAUCUCAUCAAAAGAGUGAAGUAAAAGCGGUGUGGUUUCUUGAGGCGGGGCUCUUGGUCCCGGAGACCUUGAGU
This is a long non-coding RNA of Phacochoerus africanus (Common warthog), 1159 nucleotides long. RefSeq lists it as uncharacterized. NCBI's taxonomy places the organism in Eukaryota, Metazoa, Chordata, Mammalia, Artiodactyla, Suidae. The transcript has 3 exons. The record is from RefSeq and is a predicted model, not a curated record.